CCUACGGGAUGCAGCAGUGAGGAAUAUUGGUCAAUGGACGCAAGUCUGAACCAGCCAUGCCGCGUGCAGGAAGACGGCUCUAUGAGUUGUAAACUGCUUUUGUACGAGGGUAAACGCAGAUACGCGUAUCUGUCUGAAAGUAUCGUACGAAUAAGGAUCGGCUAACUCCGUGCCAGCAGCCGCGGUAAUACGGAGGAUUCAAGCGUUAUCCGGAUUUAUUGGGUUUAAAGGGUGCGUAGGCGGUCGGAUAAGUUAGAGGUGAAAUCCCGAGGCUCAACUUCGGAAUUGCCUCUGAUACGGUUCGGCUAGAGACGGCGAGAAGUACGCGGAAUGCGCGGUGUAGCGGUGAAAUGCAUAGAUAUCGCGCAGAACUCCGAUUGCGAAGGCAGCGUACCGGCGCCGGACUGACGCUGAGGCACGAAAGCGUGGGUAUCGAACAGGAUUAGAUACCCCAGUAGUC
This 460-nucleotide ribosomal RNA is filed under the name uncultured bacterium. RNAcentral's name for it is "partial 16S ribosomal RNA". It matches the Rfam family "Bacterial small subunit ribosomal RNA", at positions 338 to 795 of the family's 1533-position model. The record is from RNAcentral.